Betta splendens (Siamese fighting fish) is the source of this 3280-nucleotide long non-coding RNA. RefSeq lists it as uncharacterized. NCBI's taxonomy places the organism in Eukaryota, Metazoa, Chordata, Actinopteri, Anabantiformes, Osphronemidae. The transcript is spliced from 5 exons. The record is from RefSeq and is a predicted model, not a curated record.
GACUUUGCAGGUGACGUUCUCCCACGGGGAGCGCGGAGAGGGCGACUAAUGGGGCAUGGCGCCAUUUUUUCCCCCUUCUCUCCCACUAAUGGUGCGCCGAGCCCAAAGCGCGGGCCUGCUCUCUGUCCACGCAGCGCGAGGCGGGCGAGAGAAUCGGCUCGCUCUAAUGAAAUGGACCAGGAACACGGAGCUAAUCAGAUCGACCUGAUGAAUGGGCGAUGCUAAUUACAGCUGCUCGCUAAAUCUUUUAUUCUGCGCGUGUGGGCUCGUGCUACCGCAUAAGGCUACCGCGCGUGCGCAUGUGUGUGUGUGUGACACGCUACAAAAACAAUGUAAAAAUAUUGCAGAGCUAAGAAUCAUCAAAGAGAGAAAUAACUGGCGUUCGCAACAUCGAUCACGGGCGGUUUCACAGUGUCGUCCUUCUGAACAGCUGCAGGUCGAGAACAAGAAAAACAUCUGGAUUGAAAAAGAACCGCGAAUUAGCGCAAAUUAAAGGACCAAACCAAAAACUGGGGCAGAGCUAUUAGCCUCGUGGAGUUCUGACUCGCUGGACCGACGCCUCCGUGUGAUGACAUUUCUAUAUAAAGGCACCGUUUAAAUGGGCCCCUCACACAGUGGCUGUUCUCAGUGCAGCAGGCGACGGAACAGAACCCGCUGACGGGGAGCAGUGUGAGCACGCGGAGCCUCGGUUGAUCCGAGGACAUGGGUAGAAACACGCCUCACGCUGCUUCUGCCUUUUAAUACUAUAAUAGUGUACGUCGUCCAACUCACAUUUAGCAGAAACUCUCUCCACUGCUUCCCCAACUGCCCGGUGGCCUUGAAAGAGCUUACAUUUUAUUUAUGUAUUAUGUAAAACCUCACACCACAAAUGUAAUAAAUCAAAUAUAAUGAGACAGCGUGUGAUUAUAUUAAAUACGAUUUCUUUCAUGAACGUGCAGAUAGACAGGGUUAGGGUUCAACCAAACCGACCCAUAGUAACCAGACCACAGUUAUUAUCAUAGUAAUAAACUGAACUGGAUGUUGAGCACAGAGCAUUAUGUUGUCUGACCGUUUUUAUUUAGCGCUCAGUUCCAAAGCUCUGGUCCUCGAAUGCUCUGAAAUUCUCCAGCGCUGACACACACGGCUAAUAGCAGCUUUUUACAGCGCCGCCUGACUCCCCCGAACAUUCUGUGGAGUUCCAAAGGCUCAUUUUCGUGCAGGAGGUUCUGCAGGAGAGCACAACAAUGGUCUGCCAUGUGUUUUUGCUUAGCGGUGCCUGGCUCAUUGUUGACACGGAGACCAGAGAAGCACACUGGGUCCAGCUGCUGUCGAACGCACGGGCCUCGCGGUGCUCGGUGCAGCUCUCACCAGCUGCAGCUGCGGCGUCGCAGAUUAGGGACCGUUUGCUGGGGUUAAGACAGAGGAUUUGACGCUUUGCUUCAGCUUCUUUCUACAGGUAAUAGACUCAGACUAGAGGAGCAUGUGUUGUUAGCUUUCCAUGAAGCUACACUAAGUACAGUAAGUAAGUUGCUUGUUUAGCUUGAUCACUUAGCCUAACCUUACUUGUAAUUUGUUUACAGUCCCUAGUGUUUCUAUGUAACACAAUCUGGCAACGUUGUGUUUUUGAGUGGACCUUCAAAAGCUCAGGUCCCUCCAUCCCACCGCCCUCCGACCUGAAGUUCCCGUCUACUUCAAUCCAGCUGGCACUGGAUCUGGUGCCGAUAGACCUGUGACCUUUGACCUUGCUGCGUUUUGUAGGGCCCAAAGCAACCUGAGAUGUAGGGGUUAAAGUUCCGAGCUGGCACUGGGGCGGCGUGAAAGCUGGUCCAACCGUGACGGCAUGUUCAUUAAUCACGGUGACGAGGAGCUCUAAUAAUGAAGAAAGAGGCCAAUCUGGUGUCAGCUGUAGGUUUGUGGUCCUCCACCGGGUCUGUAGUGGGCUCAAGAUAUGUCCACUAGAGGGCGCCAAUUAAACAUCUAUGGUGCAUCAUGGGCAUGGAAGCAUCAGCAACGGAGCAAAUAUUCUUUAAGGAAGUGACAAUAAUCCAGUGGAGUUACAAAAAUUUUAAACAUGUGAUAAAGACGUGUCUGAUGUCAUAUGUGUGAUUUAAUGUGAAAUGCAGUGUCAAAACAAACCCGGUUUCUCUGUCGUUGUUUGAGCAGAGCCGGUUCUGUUCUGUGAGCUUUAGUCAAGGCUGCACCAGACUCAUCAGACGUGAGAGCAGAAGUGAGACAGUCAUCAGGUGCUGACCAGGCCAACACCUGCACCACAGCAACUGUGAAGCGCAGAAGGCAGAGAGAGGUCUUAAUCUUUUUGCCACGGCAGACGCGUAGGCGGCUCCAGCGUCCGAUCUGGAGCAGCAUCACAGAGGCAGAGGACGCCCCCCCCCCCUCCAACCACAGCAAAGAGGCCCUCGAUGAGCGCAGGUGUACCGUGACGGGCAGCAAAUGUCAGAUGGAGGGAGGGUCACAGACGCUGGAGCUCUGCAGAGACGGACAUCACCGGUGCAGACGCUCGGGCCCCGACACGCGCCCCAUGUUCACGGGUGACUUGCACAUAAACAACACAAAGCCUGUGCGAUGCCCGUGGCCUCGCGCACUGUAUUGUUCCACGGCUUCUGGACAGAAUCGCGACUUCUGGGCCGUAAACAAGUGGAGCAGACAGGCCGGCACGUGUGGAUCGAUGCCAAAGGAAACCUCACAGUGGAUAAACCAUCAAAACCUGAUCCCCUUCGUCACUCCCCAGUGGGAAUGGGGCAGAUCAGAAGAACAAGGCCCUGCUGGACCCAGUGCUUUACACACUCAUAUCACAUCCUCUACGCUGAGGAGGACGGGCAGUUUUCUGUACUUUCAUCUCUAUAGGAUUUAUCUGCACGCACUUGAGAAGCAUCCUGGGCAAAGUCCACUCGAAAUCAAAUCCGCCCGUGUUGCGGUUUGACAAAAAGAUUAACAGAUCCAGCAGGGGGCGCUUUACAUACAGUGGGUCUGCUCAGUAAUCAUAUAUUUAUUGCAUAAAAUUGGAUGCUUCCAUGAAAUGAAAGAAGGAAAAGCAGCAACAGCGUUGACGUUAUUAGUUAUGUAACAUAUGAUUUUAUUUUUUUUUUCUCUUAAAGGCAAAGCAUUCAAAUACAGUGAGGACAGGUGCCACCAGCACAUCCACAUAUGGUCACCACACUGCACGGGCACAAACCAAACAAACACAACAAAGUCACACAGUCAUUUAGGAGCGACUUGUGAAAACACAAUGCAUUGGAUUUGUUUUAUUUUUUAUGAGUGGAAAUUAAACAUUAUGUUAAAAGGA